Molecule: unclassified non-coding RNA, 375 nt
Filed under: uncultured bacterium
Lineage: Bacteria
Description: contains 16S-23S intergenic spacer region
Source: RNAcentral
UCCGAGUUGACCCCGGCAGUCUCCCAAGAGUCCCCGGCAUUACCCGCUGGCAACAUGGGACAGGGGUUGCGCUCGUUGCGGGACUUAACCCAACACCUCACGGCACGAGCUGACGACAGCCAUACAGCACCUGUGCUAGCCCCCGAAGGACACGGGCUUUCACCCGCUUUAACUAGCAUGUCAAGCCCAGGUAAGGUUCUUCGCGUUGCAUCGAAUUAAGCCACAUGCUCCGCCGCUUGUGCGGGUCCCCGUCAAUUCCUUUGAGUUUUAAUCUUGCGACCGUACUCCCCAGGCGGGAUGCUUAAAGCGUUAGCUUAGGCACUGCCCCAUAGAGCGGGGCAACACCGAGCAUCCAUCGUUUACAGCGUGGACUAC